This 501-nucleotide ribosomal RNA is filed under the name uncultured bacterium. Its description in RNAcentral is "partial 16S ribosomal RNA". It matches the Rfam family "Bacterial small subunit ribosomal RNA", at positions 29 to 523 of the family's 1533-position model. The record is from RNAcentral.
AUUGAACGCUGGCGGCAUGCCUUACACAUGCAAGUCGAACGGCAGCACGGGUGCUUGCACCUGGUGGCGAGUGGCGAACGGGUGAGUAAUACUUCGGAACGUACCUUAUCGUGGGGGAUAACGCAGCGAAAGCUGUGCUAAUACCGCAUAAGCCCUGAGGGGGAAAGCGGGGGAUCGAAAGACCUCGCGCGAUUAGAGCGGCCGAUGCCUGAUUAGCUUGUUGGGGGGGUAAAAGCCCACCAAGGCGACGAUCAGUAGCUGGUCUGAGAGGACGCUCAGCCACACAGGGACUGAGACACGGCCCAGAUUCCUACGUGUGGCAGCAGUGGGGAAUUUUGGACAAUGGGGGCAACCCUGAUCCAGCAACGCCGCGUGAGUGAAGAAGGCCUUCGGGUUGUAAAGCUCUUUUGUCAGGGAAGAAACACCGGCUCUAACACAGUCCGGGAAUGACGGUACCGGAAGAAUAAGCACCGGCUAACUACGUGCCAGCCGCCGCCGUAA